Molecule: ribosomal RNA, 301 nt
Filed under: uncultured bacterium
Lineage: Bacteria
Description: partial 16S ribosomal RNA
Rfam family: Bacterial small subunit ribosomal RNA
Source: RNAcentral
CAGUAGCCGCGGGAAUACGAAGGGUGCAAGCGUUACUCGGAAUUACUGGGCGUAAAGCGUGCGUAGGUGGUGGUUUAAGUCCGUUGUGAAAGCCCUGGGCUCAACCUGGGAAUUGCAGUGGAUACUGGGUCACUAGAGUGUGGUAGAGGAUAGUGGAAUUUCCGGUGUAGCAGUGAAAUGCGUAGAGAUCGGAAGGAACAUCUGUGGCGAAGGCGACCAUCUGGGCCAACACUGACACUGAGGCACGAAAGCGUGGGGAGCAAACAGGAUUAGAUACCCCCGUAGUCCCUGUCUCUUAUAC